UCACUGUUAACUGCCAGAGAGGAUUUUUUAGAAGUGGUGGAAGUAUGUGUUAAGAGGAAGGCCCUGAAAGAAGAGUAUAUGGAGACAAGGAAGUUUUCCAGCUAACUAAUUUUCCAGUGUUUAUUUGAAAUAACGGAGUAUACUGCGGAGGCAUCCAAGUAUGGAAAAAGAAGCUACCUUAACACUGUUAUGCAUUCUGCCUCCAGAUCUUUGUUGGUGUACAAAGUAAAUCUUGGCCUUCCAACUUCAGUGCAUAAAUACUGUUGCAGCUAAGA
This is a long non-coding RNA of Pezoporus flaviventris, 275 nucleotides long. RefSeq lists it as uncharacterized. The record is from RefSeq and is a predicted model, not a curated record. NCBI's taxonomy places the organism in Eukaryota, Metazoa, Chordata, Aves, Psittaciformes, Psittacidae. The transcript has 3 exons.